This is a non-coding RNA of Paramuricea clavata, 335 nucleotides long. The record is from the annotation of a GenBank genome assembly. Lineage: Eukaryota; Metazoa; Cnidaria; Anthozoa; Malacalcyonacea; Plexauridae.
UUUUUAUUUAUUGCAUAGAUCCAUGCCAAUAUACGUCAAAUGUCCACGAGGAAAAUUUUGUCGAGUUGACCAUGAAACAAGGAGACCAUCUUGUGUUUGUUUAGAGGCGUGUCUUCGUAUUUAUGCUCCAGUAUGCGGAUCAAUAAUCACUGCAAACUACAGUAGCUCAUACAAUUUUUUUUUUAAAAUUAAUAUUUAAUUUCAGGAAGCUUUCUCACAAAGUGAUUUUCAGAAAGGUCCUGAACUAAAUAAACUAUUAUACAAGGAAGACAUGCAUAUACUACAUAACUAUGAAAAAUAUUAAAAAAUUAUACGAGGGAAAGUUCAAAGAUUGC